CACUGCUUUUGCCUCCCUGCCUGCCAACCUCUGUCAUGCCUGCUUCAGACUUGCAGAAGCACAAGCCAGAUCCCUGUUUCAACCUUUUCCAGUUUCCAUCCAUGUUUCCUGAACGGAUAUAAAGUCUCACUUGGGUUUAGGUAAGAGCGGCCAACUUUAUUUUGGCUGCCACCGCCCGGCUGCUGCUGCCGGCGCAGCCUCCUGGAGGCCCCCUCCCUGCACCUGCACGCACGCCCUCUGGGCUGCGCGGUUUUGCCAAGCCCCGCCCCUGCUGGGUUUGCCUGUCCCCCAGAAUCCCAGAAGAGCUUGGAUUCUCACGCAUCCAUGCCUCUGCUGCGUCCUUCAGCCCUGCCCCUCUCCCUCCCACCGUAACUCUGCUCUGACCCUCCACAGCUCAUGCAGAGUGGCAGCUCAAGCAGAAUGGCGGUGGAGGGUGGGGACCUGGCAUUUGCUGAGAAAUGCUGCUGAGUGGGGUGUGGCUGCACCCUCAGCCCCCUAUCUCUUCCCGAGACGUCUGAAUAUACUGAGGGUGGCAGGAAUGUAGCCGGGACUCACUGGAAUUCGUCUCUCACCAGCCUGUGAACUACUGUUUCAGAUGUCCUCCGUGAGCAGGGAACCCUACCUGUGGCUCCCGGAUGUAGGCUGUUCUGGUCUGACCACUUUGUAAUAAAGCUCUCCUACAGGGCUUUAUAGUAUCCAAGACACUGACAUCAAGGAACUCCUUUGAUCCUUCUGCAACUUGUAAAGUGGGAUGAGCCAGAGUAUCAUUAUCUGCAUUUUACAGAUGGGGAAACUUGAGGCUCUGAUUAAAAUGAGGGUUCAGUGUCACAUUGCUGCAAGUCAAGAUUUCUGUCGCCUUAUUGGGAAUUCCCUGGUGGCCCAAUGGUUAGAACUCAGCACUUUGACUGCUGUGGGCCCAGGUUCAAUCCUUGGUCGGGGAAGAAAGAUGCUGCAAGCUGUGUGACAUGGCUCCACCCACCCAUCCUCCAAAAAAAAAAAUAAAUAAAUAA
Molecule: long non-coding RNA, 1010 nt
Organism: Cervus elaphus (red deer)
Lineage: Eukaryota; Metazoa; Chordata; Mammalia; Artiodactyla; Cervidae
Exons: 3
Source: RefSeq, a predicted model, not a curated record